Molecule: microRNA, 21 nt
Filed under: Vriesea carinata
Lineage: Eukaryota; Viridiplantae; Streptophyta; Magnoliopsida; Poales; Bromeliaceae
Description: vca-miR168a-3p
Gene: vca-miR168a-3p
Source: miRBase by way of RNAcentral
UCCCGGCUUGCACCAACUGAA